ACGGGUGAGUAACGCGUAGGUAACCUGCCUGGUAGCGGGGGAUAACUAUUGGAAACGAUAGCUAAUACCGCAUAAAAUUGAUUAUUGCAUGAUAAUUAAUUGAAAGAUGCAACUGCAUCACUACCAGAUGGACCUGCGUUGUAUUAGCUAGUUGGUGAGGUAACGGCUCACCAAGGCGACGAUACAUAGCCGACCUGAGAGGGUGAUCGGCCACACUGGGACUGAGACACGGCCCAGACUCC
Molecule: ribosomal RNA, 242 nt
Filed under: uncultured Streptococcus sp.
Lineage: Bacteria; Bacillati; Bacillota; Bacilli; Lactobacillales; Streptococcaceae
Description: partial 16S ribosomal RNA
Rfam family: Bacterial small subunit ribosomal RNA
Source: RNAcentral